GUGCUUGCUCCGGAAGCACAUAUACUAAAAUUGGAACAAUGCAAAGAUGAGCGUGGCCCUUGUGCAAGGAUGGCACACACAAAUCGGUGAAGUGUCCAUAAUGUUU
Small nuclear RNA from Erinaceus europaeus (western European hedgehog), 106 nucleotides. NCBI's taxonomy places the organism in Eukaryota, Metazoa, Chordata, Mammalia, Eulipotyphla, Erinaceidae. The record is from Ensembl.